CCUACGGGAGGCAGCAGUGGGGAAUAUUGGGCAAUGGGCGCAAGCCUGACCCAGCAACGCCGCGUGAAGGAAGAAGGCUUUCGGGUUGUAAACUUCUUUUGUCAGGGAAGAGUAGAAGACGGUACCUGACGAAUAAGCAACGGCUAACUACGUGCCAGCAGCCGCGGUAAUACGUAGGUGGCAAGCGUUGUCCGGAUUUACUGGGUGUAAAGGGCGUGUAGCCGGGUUGACAAGUCAGAUGUGAAAUCCGGCGGCUUAACCGCAGAACGGCAUUUGAAACGGUGGAACUAGAGUACUGGAGGGGCAACCGGAAUUCCUAGUGUAGCAGUGAAAUGCGUAGAUAUGAGGAGGAACACCAGUGGCGAAGGCGGGCUGCUGGACAGCAACUGACGGUGAGGCGCGAAGGCGAGGGGAGCGAACGGGAUUAGAUACCCGUGUAGUC
RNAcentral lists this ribosomal RNA (442 nucleotides) under uncultured bacterium. RNAcentral's name for it is "partial 16S ribosomal RNA". It matches the Rfam family "Bacterial small subunit ribosomal RNA", at positions 338 to 795 of the family's 1533-position model. The record is from RNAcentral.